Molecule: ribosomal RNA, 498 nt
Filed under: uncultured bacterium
Lineage: Bacteria
Description: partial 16S ribosomal RNA
Rfam family: Bacterial small subunit ribosomal RNA
Source: RNAcentral
GACGAACGCUGGCGGCGUGCCUAAUACAUGCAAGUCGAGCGGACGAAUCGAAAGCUUGCUUUUGAUUCGUUAGCGGCGGACGGGUGAGUAACACGUGGGCAACCUGCCCUGUAGACGGGGAUAACACCGAGAAAUCGGUGCUAAUACCGGAUAACACGAAAUGUCGCAUGACGUUUCGUUGAAAGACGGCGCAAGCUGCCGCUACAGGAUGGGCCCGCGGCGCAUUAGCUAGUUGGUGAGGUAACGGCUCACCAAGGCGACGAUACGUAGCCGACCUGAGAGGGUGAUCGGCCACACUGGGACUGAGACACGGCCCAGACUCCUACGGGAGGUAGCAGUAGGGAAUCUUCCGCAAUGGACGAAAGUCUGACGGAGCAACGCCGCGUGAGCGAAGAAGGCCUUCGGGUCGUAAAGCUCUGUUGUUAGGGAAGAACAAGUAACGCAGUAACUGGCGUUACCGUGACGGUACCUAACGAGAAAGCCACGGCUAACUACGUG